UACGGAGGGGGCUAGCGUUGUCCGGAUUUAUUGGGCGUAAAGAGCGUGUAGGCGGCCAGGUAGGUCUGGUGUGAAAACUCGAGGCUUAACCUCGAGAUGUCAUCGGAAACCAUUUGGCUAGAGUCCGGAAGAGGAGAGUGGAAUUCCUGGUGUAGCGGUGAAAUGCGCAGAUAUCAGGAAGAACACCAAUGGCGAAAGCAGCUCUCUGGGACGGUACUGACGCUGAGACGCGAAAGCGUGGGGAGCGAACAGG
RNAcentral lists this ribosomal RNA (253 nucleotides) under uncultured bacterium. RNAcentral describes it as "partial 16S ribosomal RNA". It matches the Rfam family "Bacterial small subunit ribosomal RNA", at positions 524 to 776 of the family's 1533-position model. The record is from RNAcentral.